RNAcentral lists this ribosomal RNA (1437 nucleotides) under Porites lutea. RNAcentral's name for it is "16S ribosomal RNA". It matches the Rfam family "Bacterial large subunit ribosomal RNA", at positions 1010 to 2782 of the family's 2925-position model. The record is from RNAcentral. Lineage: Eukaryota; Metazoa; Cnidaria; Anthozoa; Scleractinia; Poritidae. RNAcentral also lists the same sequence under 2 other names.
GUCAAAAGGGGAGAGCCCAAAUCAGAAAUUAAAGUUACAGAUUCAAUAAUUAAGUGUAAAAGGAGUAUGGGAUUUAGACAAUGAAGAGGUAGGCUUGGAGCCAGCCAUCUUUGAAAGAAUGCGUAGUAGUUCACUCAAGAACUCUUUUUCCCCAAAAAUUAUGGUGGCUAAAAAUUGAACUGAAAUUCUGAGGGCAGUAAGAAGUUUGCUUGGUAGUAGAACAGACUGUUAGAUGGUGGUGAGAACCCAAGAAUCAGAAGAGAUAAUGUGAACAUGAGUAAAAAAAUUGUUGCUUCAUCUCCCCUGGUUACCAAGCCUAAGGGUUUGGGUGAAACAGCCUCUAAGGAGGUUACCGAUGGGUGAUAAUAAUAAACGCAUAAAGUGCCAGGAAAUAAUUAUAAAUAAAUAUUACUGUUGCAAACUAACACAAGUGGGAGAUAGUGAGGGGAAAAGUUUUUUUAAGGAACUCGGCAAAUUUUUAGCUCUCAUUAGAGGGUUUAAACACAAGGCCUCGGCUGUUUACCAAAAACAUAGCUUUUUGCUAAUAUGAAGGUAGAAGUAUGAAAGGUGAGACCUGCCCAAUGGUUGUAUCUAAAAGGGUUGGUAAAGCCAACUUUAUAAAGACAAUUAAAUGGCCGCGGUAACACUGACCGUGAUAAUGUAGCGUAAUCAAUAGUCAAUUAAUUGUUGGCCGGUAUGAAUGGUGUCACGAGGGUCUCACUGUCUUAAGAAAAUGUCCAGUGAAAUUGAAUUUGUAGUGAAGAUGCUACAUCCAAAUUGUUAGACAAGAAGUCCCCAUGGAACUUUACUGGAAACUUAUGUGGCUUAAAUUAAUUUAUUUCUUACAAAUAAGUAGUUUUAAAAUGUGGUGUUAACCUCUUGGAUUAAUUGGGGUUAGAAAAGCUCACUCUUUUAUUUUAAGAAAGCCAACUCAAAAACUUAUGUCUUUGGGAUUGGAUAAGUGGGACAGUUUGGUUGGGGCGACCGCCUUUAAAAAAGUAACGAAGGCGGGCUUAAGAUAUAUUUUUAGUUAUGUCUGACUGCGAAGGGGGAAUCCUGAGCAGGCACUUAUUUUUAGGUGGGUUUAAGUGACCCGUUAAUUUAGGGUGAAAUAGUUAACGAUAAACAAAUAAAAGUUACCCUGGGGAUAACAGCGCAAUAACGUUUGAGAGUUUUCAUUGACGACGAUGUUUGCGACCUCGAUGUUGAAUUGCGGCAUCCUGGGGUGCAGUCGCUCCCAAGGGUUGGUCUGUUCGUCCAUUAAAGCCGUACAUGAUUUGAGUUAAAAGCGUGGUAACACAGCUUGGUUUCUAUCUACAAUUUGAAGAAACAUUGAUAUAACUAUUUUCUAGUACGAAAGGAUCGAAAAAUUAGUGGUUCUCUUAUUUUUAUAAGUUACAAUCAAUUGAUUGACUCGGAUACUUUUUGAAGGGGUCU